UACGUAGGGUGCGAGCGUUGUCCGGAAUUAUUGGGCGUAAAGGGCUCGUAGGCGGUCUGUCGCGUCGGUAGUGAAAACUCAGGGCUUAACCCUGAGCCUGCUUCCGAUACGGGCAGACUAGAGGUAUGCAGGGGAGAAUGGAAUUCCUGGUGUAGCGGUGGAAUGCGCAGAUAUCAGGAGGAACACCGAUGGCGAAGGCAGAUCUCUGGGCCGUAACUGACGCUGAGGAGCGAAAGCGUGGGGAGCGAACAGG
Molecule: ribosomal RNA, 253 nt
Filed under: uncultured bacterium
Lineage: Bacteria
Description: partial 16S ribosomal RNA
Rfam family: Bacterial small subunit ribosomal RNA
Source: RNAcentral